ACAUGCAAGUCGAGGGUAGUUGGUUUCGGACCAAGAGACCGGCGCACGGGUGCGUAACGCGUAUGCAAUCUACCUUUGCAGAGGGAGUAGCCCAGAGAAAUUUGGAUUAAUACCUCAUAGUAUAGUACUUUGGCAUCAAGGAACUAUUAAAGUCACAACGGCAAAAGAUGAGCAUGCGUCCCAUUAGCUAGUUGGUAAGGUAACGGCUUACCAAGGCUACGAUGGGUAGGGGUCCUGAGAGGGAGAUCCCCCACACUGGUACUGAGACACGGACCAGACUCCUACGGGAGGCAGCAGUGAGGAAUAUUGGACAAUGGGCGCAAGCCUGAUCCAGCCAUGCCGCGUGCAGGAAGACGGUCCUAUGGAUUGUAAACUGCUUUUAUACAGGAAGAAACCCUCCCACGUGUGGGAGCUUGACGGUACUGUAGGAAUAAGGAUCGGCUAACUCCGUG
RNAcentral lists this ribosomal RNA (452 nucleotides) under uncultured bacterium. RNAcentral describes it as "bacterial SSU rRNA". It matches the Rfam family "Bacterial small subunit ribosomal RNA", at positions 53 to 507 of the family's 1533-position model. The record is from RNAcentral.